RNAcentral lists this ribosomal RNA (508 nucleotides) under Illex argentinus (Argentinian squid). RNAcentral's name for it is "partial 16S rRNA". It matches the Rfam family "Bacterial large subunit ribosomal RNA", at positions 1808 to 2584 of the family's 2925-position model. The record is from RNAcentral. Lineage: Eukaryota; Metazoa; Mollusca; Cephalopoda; Oegopsida; Ommastrephidae.
CAAAAACAUGUCUCUUUGUUAUAUAUAAAUAAAGAGUUGGGCCUGCUCGGUGAAUAAUUUUUAACAGCUGCGGUAUUUUAACUGUACUAAGGUAGCAUAAUAAUUUGCCUUAUAAUUUGAGGCUAGAAUGAAUGGUUUGACGAAGGUUAAUCUGUCUCUAUCUUAUUUUUUAGAAUUUAAUUUUUAAAGUGAAAAAGCUUGAAUUUUUUAAAGGGACGAGAAGACCCUAAUGAGCUUAUAAUUUUAUUAUUAUUAUUUAAUAUAUUUAAAUAAUAAUAUAUAAAUUUUAAUUGGGGUGAUUAAGGAAUAAAAGAAUUAUAUAAUAACUUCCUUAGAUUAAAUAUAUAUAUAUAAAGUAACCAAUAAUAUAUUGCUUAUAAUAUAGUUACCAUAGGGAUAACAGCGUAAUUUGUUUAGAGAGUUCUUAUUGAAAAACAAGAUUGCGACCUCGAUGUUGGAUUAAAGUAACCUUAAGGUGCAGAAGCUUUAGUAAGGUAAAUCUGUUCGA